RNAcentral lists this long non-coding RNA (275 nucleotides) under Panax ginseng (ginseng). Its description in RNAcentral is "long non-coding RNA (PGIN_LNC003819)". The record is from RNAcentral. Lineage: Eukaryota; Viridiplantae; Streptophyta; Magnoliopsida; Apiales; Araliaceae.
CAAUUAUGUUGAACCUCGAAAUGAAUAAAUCCUGAAAUUUUGUUGAUAUCCUUCAGUCCAUAGCGACACCUAUUGAAUACUCUUGAUAUUCUUGGUAUCCUUAAACUAUCAAUUAUUAUUAUACCCUUGAAAGAUUCAAAUGCUAUAACUGCUUGUUCUUCUAGCUAUAUUGCUUGCUGGGCAAACUUGUUGCUCAUUCUUGCUUCCUAAAACAUUACAGUUAAGGCAGAGCAAGGCGGUAUUUCAGUAAAGGACAAGGGAAAGGGCAAGGCGGC